AAACCAACAGGGAUUGCCCUAGUAACGGCGAGUGAAGCGGCAACAGCUCAAAUUUGAAAUCUGGCCUUCGGGUCCGAAUUGUAAUUUGCAGAGGAUGCUUUUGGCGCGGUGCCUUCCGAGUUCCCUGGAACGGGACGCCUUAGAGGGUGAGAGCCCCGUACGGUUGGACACCAAGCCUCUGUAAAGCUCCUUCGACGAGUCGAGUAGUUUGGGAAUGCUGCUCUAAAUGGGAGGUAAAUUUCUUCUAAAGCUAAAUACCGGCCAGAGACCGAUAGCGCACAAGUAGAGUGAUCGAAAGAUGAAAAGCACUUUGAAAAGAGGGUUAAAUAGCACGUGAAAUUGUUGAAAGGGAAGCGUUUACGGCCAGACCUUUUCCUGGCCGAUCAUCUGGCGUUCUCGCCAGUGCACUCCGCCAGGUUUAGGCCAGCAUCGGCUUCCGUAGGGGGAUAAAAGCAGUGGGAAAGUAGCUCUCUCGGGAGUGUUAUAGCCCUAAGCAUAAUACCCUUACGGGGGCCGAGGACCGCGCUUUUGCAAGGAUGCUGGCGUAAUGGUCGUCAACGACCCGUCUUGA
Molecule: ribosomal RNA, 571 nt
Filed under: Biscogniauxia sp.
Lineage: Eukaryota; Fungi; Ascomycota; Sordariomycetes; Xylariales; Xylariaceae
Description: eukaryotic LSU rRNA
Rfam family: Eukaryotic large subunit ribosomal RNA
Source: RNAcentral